AGCUGGGAUGUUAAAAACUUUGAUGCUCAAUAUCUCAGAACUACCCUAAACGGAGAUAGAACCUUACAAUUCUAAGCUCACGCAUUCGUCAACAAAACUUUUCAGCU
Etheostoma spectabile (orangethroat darter) is the source of this 107-nucleotide long non-coding RNA. RefSeq lists it as uncharacterized. The record is from RefSeq and is a predicted model, not a curated record. NCBI's taxonomy places the organism in Eukaryota, Metazoa, Chordata, Actinopteri, Perciformes, Percidae. The transcript has 3 exons.